Sus scrofa (pig) is the source of this 372-nucleotide long non-coding RNA. RefSeq lists it as uncharacterized. Lineage: Eukaryota; Metazoa; Chordata; Mammalia; Artiodactyla; Suidae. The record is from RefSeq and is a predicted model, not a curated record.
GGGGGCGGGGGUGGGGCUAGCCCGCUGGGUUCUCUCCUCACUCCUGGCGCGACUGUGGUGCGCGGGCUGGUGACGUCAUUUUGCCUCAGCCUUGAGCCGAAGCUGCAGACCCUUCGCAGCUACAAGCGCGAGGUUCAGAAGAGGCCCAGCCUGUGCUCUUAGGAUUUGCAUCCUGCUUUUGGGAGCUUUAGCUCUGGCCAGAGGCUGACUUUGCCUCAGAGAUGGACACUGGCACCGACCAUCUACUCCAGUACGUUUGGGCUACACAUGACAGUCAGGAGAGCUUUGUGUCCAUAAUUCUGCCCCAAGGAGUGGAGCCUACCAGGUAUUCUCACAUCACCUAGGAAUAAAUGGUCCAAAGAAUGCCAUCAA